This 253-nucleotide ribosomal RNA is filed under the name uncultured bacterium. RNAcentral's name for it is "partial 16S ribosomal RNA". It matches the Rfam family "Bacterial small subunit ribosomal RNA", at positions 524 to 776 of the family's 1533-position model. The record is from RNAcentral.
UACGUAGGGGGCAAGCGUUGUCCGGAAUCAUUGGGCGUAAAGGGUGCGUAGGCGGUGAGGUAAGUCGGAUGUGAAAUCCCGGGGCUUAACCCCGGAACUGCAUUCGAUACUGCCUUGCUUGAGCACUGGAGAGGAGACUGGAAUUUACGGUGUAGCAGUGAAAUGCGUAGAUAUCGUAAGGAAGACCAGUGGCGAAGGCGAGUCUCUGGACAGUUGCUGACGCUGAGGCACGAAGGCCAGGGGAGCAAACGGG